RNAcentral lists this ribosomal RNA (429 nucleotides) under Bacteroidota bacterium. RNAcentral's name for it is "Bacteroidetes bacterium partial 16S ribosomal RNA". It matches the Rfam family "Bacterial small subunit ribosomal RNA", at positions 355 to 776 of the family's 1533-position model. Lineage: Bacteria; Pseudomonadati; Bacteroidota. The record is from RNAcentral.
UAGGGAAUCUUCCGCAAUGGACGCAAGUCUGACGGAGCAACGCCGCGUGAGUGAAGAAGGAUUUCGGUUCGUAAAACUCUGUUGUUAGAGAAGAACAGCGCAUAGAGUAACUGUUAUGCGUGUGACGGUAUCUAACCAGAAAGCCACGGCUAACUACGUGCCAGCAGCCGCGGUAAUACGUAGGUGGCAAGCGUUGUCCGGAUUUAUUGGGCGUAAAGCGAGCGCAGGCGGUCAAUUAAGUCUGAUGUGAAAGCCCCCGGCUCAACCGGGGAGGGUCAUUGGAAACUGGUUGACUUGAGUGCAGAAGAGGGGAGUGGAAUUCCAUGUGUAACGGUGAAAUGCGUAGAUAUAUGGAGGAACACCAGUGGCGAAGGCGACUCUCUGGUCUGUAACUGACGCUGAGGUUCGAAAGCGUGGGUAGCAAACAGG